This 19464-nucleotide long non-coding RNA is filed under the name Setaria viridis. RNAcentral's name for it is "long non-coding RNA (SVIR_LNC006268)". The record is from RNAcentral. Lineage: Eukaryota; Viridiplantae; Streptophyta; Magnoliopsida; Poales; Poaceae.
CUAGCUUUCCUAGGAGCGAGUUCAUCACUCCCACUGAGGCACUCACCAGUAUCUUCUCUGCCAUUCUGACUGCACUUCUGGGAUGCCGCCGCCGCGGAGGAUGGUGACCACGGGCGAGCCAAAAACCAGCGGAUCCGCCCGGAUCUACAUGGGGAGACGCCGGCCGCGUUGUUUCCGGGGGAGCGGGAGGAGCCGUGCGGCCUCUGCGAGAGCGAGCGGCAGGCGGCGCUAUGCCAUGGAGCGAUGGAGCAGCGAAGGUAUAGGGAAAGGUGUGGCAAAUGCGACGACUUCGGGUCAGCGCAAGGACUUCAAGUCUCCGCCCACGUCCGUGUUCACGCCCCCCGCAGAUGGUGGGCCGGCGCUCCGCGUUGAAACCCGAAUAGUAGAGUCGCCAUCAUGGCCCCUCUCGGGGGGGGGGGGGGGGGGGGGGGGGGGGGGGGGGGAAAGCCAGCCUGAAAUGACCCACCAGGCCCAACUCUGGCCUGAAACUCAGCGGCUGUACCCGUACUAUACCCAGCCACGGCGGGGCGACGCACCGACGCAGACGGACGCCGCCCGCACACGCGACGGCAUCUCAAUCCCGACCCCCACGAGCCGCCGGGGAACAUGGGGUUCGACCUCAGCCUGCCGCCGCCGGCGGCCGAGAUCCUGGUGUAGGAAUGGGCGUGGCAAAAUAGAUUGAUCCAUCAUCCGUCGGCUUGUUAAUCACAAAUGAAAAUGAUUAUUAGCACUUCCCGGUGUGUAGAUAGUCAACUGUUUUGUGUAUAUGAAAGGUGCGAUGCAGGAGUUAACAAAGAGAAUUGGUUUCCGUGAAUUUCUUGUUUGUUUGGGACGGCUGGAGAUAUAAAAAAUUUCAACCUGCAACACCACGUGUGUCUCUAAUUUUUUUUGAAUUCCCUCGUAUAUUUUUUUUGGAAAACCUGCUCUGCUUGAGUCCUACUUCCUCUGUCCUUUAAUAUAUGUCGUCGUGGGAAUGGUCAAACUUUUUUAAAUUUAAAAUAUUAGCAAUAUUUAUAUUUUUAAAUAAAUUUAUUAUGAAAAUAGAUUUAACGAUCUAUCUAAUGAUACUGAUUAUGUAUUAUAAAUAUGAAUAUUUUAUAUAUAUAUAUAUAUAUAUUUGGUCAAAGUUGAUUGCGUCUAAAUUCUCGGGAAGUGAGAACGAUAGACAAAGAUGGACGGAGGGAGCAAAGAGGAUAUACGCACAAAUUUUAAGAUCCCGUUUGAUAGGGAUCCAGAUUCUCACCGGUAACGUUUCGGAUGAGUUUGGGAUGAUGAAUCAGAAUCACUGGACUGUUUGGCUGCAUAAUCAGAAUCACUGCGAAACCACGUUUACACCGAUUCACAUUCAUAAGCAGAAAAACUUGAAUCACUUGGAACCGUUUCUACAAGAAACGUUUCACCCUUUGCCCAUUUAGCAGUGAUUAGUGUGUCUCGCUAGAAUCUGAACUGCCAAACGGGCCUAAAAUUUGGAGGGCGCAAAACUGCGGACUAGCCAAAGCUUCCGAGUUCCAAAUUGAAAUGGAGUCAGACAACAAAACUGGCAGCCGCGUGCGCGCGCGGCCGCGGCGGCGACACGCCACGCCAGGCCUGCACUGCACGCACCUUCGCGGAAACGCACACCCAUGUCGGCAGGCAGCCACGAGCAGCAGCCGGCGGGCCGAAGAAUAGAAAAAACCGGGCGGCGCUCCCCUCCUCGGCUGGCGCCUGCGUGCGUGCGUACGGCGCCGUCCGGGACCUGACAGCGCGCGGCGUGACGGUUGCUGCCCGCCCGUCCCAGCUGCACGCCAAGCCAGCGGUGCGCCGCCGACGCCCGAGUGUUAAAAUCCGCCGGUGAUCCAUAACAGUAAAAAUAACGCAUCUCUGUCAUCUCAUUUACAACUGUCAGCGUGCCACCAUCAGUUAUGCGAGCUCCAAGCCUCCAAGUAGGAAAUAUGAGGAGCAUAUACGUGUAAGAGCUGCUAAACCAGUAUCUGUUGUUUGGCGAUUGUCAAGAUUAAGAAACUUCCAGUGAACUCAAAGGCAGAAAUCUUUUUCAAAACAAUGCCAGUAACCAAUGUAAAAGAGAUUGAUGAUCAUAUCCUGCAUAUAUAUUGCAUGGACCUGUAGAAACAGAACGACUUAGUUUAUCUAUAACAACUUUAAAUCGAAAAUCAUGAAGUGCUCCAGGGGACUGCAGGAACCAGGGCGUGGGAGGCCUCCACGGAGGCACGGGCAGCAGGAACCGGAGCGUGCGGGAGAGGUCCUUCCUCCUGGAGCUUGCACAAGACCCACAGGAACCGAGGAAGGCGGUGACGGCGAGCGGCGUCCGUUCGAGCCUGAGCUGAGCAUCAAUUCCCCAGCGGAAGGCCGUUGAGCGUCGGGUAGAAAAGGACGCCACGCGUCCGUUCCUGCACCCAAUUUUUUUUUCCCCUUUACUCACCUUUGAAAUACAAGACGCUUCUACAGGUCGUAAAUACUCCCCUCUAUGCCUUUAUGAUUUCGGAUGUGUUAUGGUCCUAACUACGCUGGCGGCGCGCCGCCGCGCCGGCGAGCUUUGGACAGAGUUGCGCAGCCGGCAGCGAGAAGAAGAACAGUAGGAUAGGUUUGAUGUUUUCUCCAUUCCAUGCCCCCCCUUCAGCGUUCUCUAGCGCUUGCAUAUCCAGUCCGGCUCUCAGCCCACAGAGACGAUACAUGGGCUCAUAGGCUGCUACUUACACGGCCUUUGGCCCAACUACUACUCUCCUUUCUUCUUCUUUGCCGUCGGUGCCUCCUCUGUCACUUGGGCUGUGACACUCCCCCUCCAUUGGAAAUCAGCUCGCCCCAAAGCUGCUGUAAUGGAAACCUCUGAUGCAGAUAGUUUAAAUUCGACCAAGUAGUCCAAUCCGCCGGCGAGGAAGACCAACGAAUGAGGCCAUAUGGAGUUACUGAAUUACCCACUUUAUGCAGACUAGUAUGCCACUGUUCCCACCUUCUGAACGAUUUAGGGGCCAAAAUAUUUGAAGCUCAACUUAUGAUUGGAUCUCCUUACAACUGAGACUUGCACAUAUGGCUGUAACCUCAAACAUACCUAAUCUCCAACUUCGAAUGACCUUUCUGUUCUAUUCUUAUCUGCUUGUGCCUUCAUUCUGCUUUGAGCUCUGAGUUAAAUAUUGUUGAACCAAUUUGUUCAUUAAAGAUCUUUCCUAAAGCCACCGCACCAAAUCUGGUACUUUCACAUUAGACUCAGAUGGAACACAGAAAUGUCUGGGUUUCCUAAAGCAACCUCGAAUGGAGUUUUGCCCAACGCUGAGUGAUACGUGGUGUUGUAACAAUGUUCCGCUAAUGACAACCACUUAGCCCACUUGGAUGGACAAUCUUGAACCAUGCAUCGCAAGUAAGUUUCAUUGAUUAAGUCUCUCUGUUUGCCCAUCCAUGUGAGGGUGAUAGGAUGAACUCAUAUUUAUCAUAUUUAAGGUGGUUUCAGUGAGCCUGAAUAACUCUCGCCAAAAAUUGCUAGUGAAUACCUUAUCUCUAUCACUAAUAAUAACAUUUAGCAACCAAAAAUUGCGUUGCCAUGUAUGUGGAAAACAAGCUGUAAAAUUAUAUAAAAUAAUUAAAAAAAGUGAUUUAGUUUGAUUUGUGGACGAUUGUCGACGAAGCCUUGGCGUUCGUUGUGAAGCCGUGACAGUUGUUGAUGAAGUCGGCUAGUCGGAGUCGAUCCCGACUACUUGUUGAUCACGUGGAACCCACACUCGACUAGUUUGUAGUCAAGACGAGAACUUUUAGAUAGUCAUUAUUGUGUCGCCGAGAGCCAGCGCAGUCAUGCAUGCUGAAGUCUCAUGUACAUUUCUUCAAUACGUGUUGUGAAGAGGAAUAGAUCUCUCGGUGGCCUACCUGGUACGUGCACUGAAACUCCAAAAAGUAGCUUUACACGGAGAGUGCUUGAGCUGAUAGUGUUGACAUGAAAAUCGAGAUGCGAUCCUCACGCGCUAACACACGAACCUGGGAGAAUCUGCUUAGCUCCUGUUCGGGUUGAAGCCCUGUUGAUCCGCGGCGUGCCAAUGAAUCUGACCUGCUGAUUGACAAGGAUAAUCCGGAUGUCAAAUAUGAAAGCGAAUCGGCUGGUUUGCCGAUUGGCCCUAUGAAGAUCGUAACAGCUGAUUAGCUGAAAUAGAGAUAUACGAUCGGCUAGGUCAGCCAAUGUAAGUGCUGCAGAGGAAACGAUAAUGCGCAACCUAAACAGUGCUACGAGGAAAACACUUGAAAUAGAUUUAAUCGGCUAUACGAUGUAUCCUUGAUAGCAAAACAGAGUAAGAAGCCGAUCUGAAACUAUUACGAGCUGGAUAAUUGUGAUAAAAGCUAGAACAACGAGGUGAACUUGAAGAUCUAGCAAGUAUCGAUAACUUGAAUAAAUCCAGAUGAAACGACAGCGAUGUGCCCGAAGUUAAAGCCUGGAGAUUAUUCGGUAGACACGGAACUCAUAGGCCAGUCGGAGAUCAAGUUGAUGCAGCCCCACUAGCUUGAAAGAACUCGUGAAAAGAGAAAAAACUUUGGCGAAGUCGCCGACUUGAAAGUAAAUUGCGACAAUAAUAGAUUUGUUUUUAUUGAUGUGUAUGUGUUUUUCUAGACCUCGUAGGGUCUCUAUUUGUAGCCUAACCUCAAAAACCCUAAUCCUAGUCGAUUACGACGCGAUACAAUAUCUGUAACUUAAAAAAACAAACUUUCUAAAUAAAAACGAUUCAUACAAGAGUACGGACACUAAAUAAAAAAAACUUGUAUAAAAGUCAGGAUAUCUUCACCGAUCCAGCUUCUCUUCUGCCUUCUAUCAUCCGAACCUCCAAUAUCCCCGAUCGGCUGGAGUCCUGCUCGCCUCACGCGGAAUCAGCUGAGCCCCCCUGUCCUCAUCAGCUGGAUCGGCUGGAACCCUUCCAUCCGCAUCGGCUGUCUUCAUCAGCUGAGUCUCCAUUAUCUUCCAUCGGCUGAAAAUUGGUGACUCCUUCUGCUGAUUUCCCUGGCCGUUGCUCUUCCACCACGUAUCAGCACCUCGGCCUCCUUUUGACAUUAGUUUUUCGACAUGUGUUAAAAAAUGGUGUCAAUAGAUAGUUUCCUCAAUCCAUGCACGCGCAGUAGAUGGAAUAUUGAUUGGCCUUCAUUGCUUCAGUAUAGGAUUCGGCAACCGAAGGCAAUUAGCUUAAGAUGCCUUCGUUCGUGACUUCAACUCGAAGACGGAAAAAUAAUUCCGCCGAUAUUUUUCCUUCUCACGGGUGUGGAGCAGUAGCGGAUCAUCAACCUUGAGCGACGCACGGAGCCAUGGAGGAUGAUCAGCUAUAGCAGUGCGACUAGUGCUGUAGCUUUUUGCAUGUAGACAAGCCGAUAACCGAUUGAUCUCUCGCAAGCUUCUUGUAUCCGCUUUGAAUUGGAACUCGGCGACUUGCUUUUCCUCGAGUAGAUUGAUUUUUAACAUGAGUUCCUUCAAGCUCGCUCGAUGAUCUCGACAAUCACCCCUACCUGACGCGCCAGAUGUCGGUGUUUUAUACCUGGUAACCUACCGAGGGGUCCUCGGUAGUAGAUUCGUUGGUUUGGGAUCGUCGGACCUGGAACUCGAAGGUAAAAGCGAGGAUACAAGACACAGAUUUAUAUAGGUUCGAGCUGCUAGAGUAACGUAAUACCCUACAUCUUGUUUGGGGUGUUGUAUAUUGCGCCUUGCGAUUGGUUGUUAUUUGAUGUUGAGAAUUUGAUCAUUUGAUGUGGUUCUAUGAGAUCUUCGCCUAUCGAUUUAGGGACCCUUGCCCUCAUUUAUAUACUAUAGGGGGAAUUACUAGUCGGUUACAAGAAGGAGUCAUAGUAGGAUUACAUGGUAUGAGUUCUAAUAGGAUUACAGAAGGAUCAUAGUAGGAGUCCAUCUUCUUUAUUCCUUGUGUGUAAUUGGGAUCCAUCUUUGUUGUCGGUGCCUCCUCUGUCAAUUGGGUUGUGACUGGAUGCUUUCACGAAGAGCGAAGCGAAUAAUAUAAAUUAUCCAUUUUAUGGCGGCCUGGUUAUCACGGGUGUGUACAAAUUACGUGAAUAGUAAGUUUUGCACUAUCUUUGUAUCUAUAUUGCACGGUGCUAUCAUCUAUUUUUAUUAUUAGUAGUGAGAUAAUUUGAUUAAUGUCAAAUGGAAAUACUUUUGACAUGUAUAGGGUAUAUGCUUCAUAUAGAUUUAUAGCUUCUUUGGGGUGAAUUUAUAUUUAUAGAUUUUAUUUGAUUGACAUGAAUAUGCACAAGUGCACAGUAAACCACUACAAAUUUUACACUUAGCCACCAGGGAAAAAGAAAGGCAAAUAUUACUUUUGUGCCUGGUGACUUACCGGCAGGGGCGGAUCUAGCGGUGGGGCGGGCGGAGCUCAAGCUCCCCUACCACCUCUCGGAUAGUGGAGCCCACUUUGAGUCCCUCCAUAGUUUUUGAGGAAGAAUAAGAGAAGGCAAGAAAGAAAAACGAGAAGGAAACAAGCUCCUGCUAAGUUCAUGAACUGCCAUUGCUUACCGGAGGGUGACUUUGCUGCCACUGUGCCAGGCUAUGAGGGUGUUUGGUUCCAGGGACUAAAGUUUAGUCCCUUUCACAUUAAAUAUUUAGAUACUAAUUAGGAGUAUUAAAUAUAGGUUAAUUACAAAACCAAUUGUAUAAAUGAAGGCUAAUUUGCGAGAUGAAUCUGUUAAGCCUAAUUAAUCCAUGAUUUGACCUACAGUAAAUAUCUGCUAAUCAUGAAUUAAUUAGGCUUAAUACAUUCAUCUCGUGAAUUAGCUACGGCUUAUGCAAUUAGUUUUCUAAUAAUUAGUUCGCGUUUCAUCCUUCUAAUUGGUAUCCCAACAUCCGAUCUUGGGCACUGACUGAGGCUGAGGCAGCGUACUUUACUUUCAAGUCGGCGACUUCACCAAAACACCUUUUUUCUUCACGAGUUCGUACGGGUUGGCAGGACUGCAUCAACACGAUCUUCGGCCGAUUCUGUAAGUUCCGCUUAUCGAGUAAUAUCUAGGCUUUAACUUCGGACGCAUCGCUGCUGUUUCGUUUAGAUUUAUUCACCAGUUAUCGAUAUCAACUAGAAUCGUAGGUCUUACCUGUUAUUUUAGUUUUUAUUAUCAGUUAUCUAGCUUCAGGUACGAAUUGUCGGCUUUUAUUGCUUUCGUUCUUUGUUAUCAUACAGCCGAUUAGAUCUAUCCCAAGUGUUGCUUCUCUAGCGUUGCUUAGUUUGCUCUAGUAGCUUUUCUUUACAAUCGUUACACGGUAUCGGCUGUUUUAUAGCUGGUCACCUCUACAGUAAAUCGGUCGAUUCGCCGAUACGCUUUUAAAGACAAAUCGGAACUUUAGCCGAUCGGAGCCCCUAGAAUUUAAUACUUUCAUUUUCUUGUCAAUCAACAGGUCAGAUUGACUGGCACGCCGCGCGAACCGCACCAAGGCGAUAACUCGAACAGGAGUUAAGUAGAUUCUCCCGGGUCGUGUGUCGGACGCUGGGGAUCAUCGGUCGAUUUUCAACGCCAACAUAUACUAUCAUCAGAAGGACAAGGAAUUCAACAGUAAGGAUCUGCAGAGUUCAGUGGAGCCGACAUGGAGAAAAGGAAGCUACAUGGCAACGCGAAGACGCGUUAAAGAAAGAGUUUCCCCAUCUGUUCAGAAUUCAGCCGAAUCUCGGGGAUGAGAUUCAAUUUAAGUGGGGUAGGUUUGUAACAUCCGUAAAAAUCACCACUCUUAGAUUACUCGUUAAAAUUAUUUUCAAAAUCUUUCGACCGUUGAGCUUCCAAAAUUUCUAACCUUUCUGGCGAUUUUGCCAUCCCGGCAACCAAGCCAACCGCCAUGAUUUCCUUCCUUCAUUUUUCUCCGCCGCGCGCUCAAACAAAAAUCUCAUAUGUGCCCGACCGUUUCCGCAUUUCCCGCCAACUCUCCUUUUAUUUUUCUCUCCCUUUUUCACUUCUCUUUUCUUUUCUCCUUUUCUUUUCUUCCUUUCUUCCUUCUUCUUCCUCCUUCCUCUUUCUUCCUCCUCCUCCCUUCUUCCUAGCAAUGUGCGCAGCCCCCCCCGGCGCACCGCGCCUCCCCCUUGCCCCUUCCCUAGCCGGCUCCCCGAGGCCCCAAACACGCACCUGGCCCUCCCCUUGGCCAGCCCCACCUGCGCCCUAGCCGGCGCUGUGCGCCUGGCCCCCUUCCCUGCGUAGGCCACGCCUGGGACCCCUACCCGCCGGUAGCACAUCCGACGCUGCCGCCGCGGUCGUGACUCGCCUUCCGCCGGCCCCUCCUGUCGCCGAUCCCCUACCUCACCGGCCGCCCAAGCUCGCUGGACCGGGGGCCCAUAACCGGUGGCUCAUUUUCUUCCUCCCCAACCGGCCUAUAAAAUGGGGGUGACGCCCCAGCCGCCGCCUAACCUCCUUGUCCAAGCCACCAGUGCCUCCCCCACUGUCCCUUGCGCCCCCUCGCUGCCGCCCGACAAGAACUCUGGCCGCCCCAAGCUACCGCCGGCCACCCCCUUCCCCUAGCCGUUUCGCCCAAGGUAAAGGCAAAAUGGGACCUCCAUGAUCCCCUCCCCCUUUUCCCCCACCGUGAGCUCGCCGCCGGCAGCCCCCCUCCCCCCUCCCUCCCUCCAUCCCUGUCACGCACAGGACCAAGGAAGAACAAGACUUUUCCCCCAAUUUUGAUCUAACCCCCUCAUUUUCCAUAUUCGCGAACCAGCCCUCCCACCUCUCUCAAAGUUUUCUCACGGAUAUGCCCUUCCACCUCCUAGAAAUAUUUGCAAAUAGGUCCCUGGUUCUUAAAGUUUGGUCCUAAGCUUUGUUUUAAUCCCCUAAUACCCCGUUAACUCAUCAUUUCAUGCACCAAACCACCUCCGUUCGAUCCCAAAUUCGAUCACGCCGUUCUCUAAAAUAUUUCCACCAAGUCACCUCUGAAUUACAUGCUCAAACUCGUUUCCUCUAAUUACCGUUCACGUUCUCUGUUCAAGCUCAACGGGAAAAGCUUUAAUUUUUAUUUAUUUAUUGUGUGCCUGUUUGUGUGUACCGUAGAUCGGGGAGUACCCGAGGAGGAGCCUGAGGAGGAGUUUGACUACGAGCUUGAGCCCAAGAACCAACCCCGCGAGCAAGAACUCCUGGCCGACUUCGAGGACGGCAAGUCUAAUGUCACCCUUUGAUACGUAUUUGUCCUAGUUUUUCAAACACAACCUGUUGGCCUAUUUUUAUAAAAUUGCACAAUGUUUUAUUGCUAAACACAAUUGGAUAGCCACCCCUUAAUUGCUAUAAACAUUCCUUGAAUUGUCCUAUAAUUAUCGCUAAAUAUGACUCGCUCUGUUCAGAAGAUAAUUACUGCUAGAUUGCUUAGGACUUGUUACUCCACUCCAAUAUGACUAUCACAUGCUUUGUUAACAACUAGAAGUGUGAGUGUUUUUCCAAUGUGUAAACAGGUCUGGGAAUAAAUGAAAGAGUUGCCUAGAUGAGAUGGAUGGGUAUUUCUGUUGGAGGUAUGCCCUAGAGGCAAUCAUAGAGAUGAUGAUAUUCCAUUUGUAUCCAUGAUUUGUAUCAUUGAAUAUCCAUUGAAGGCUACUUGAAUUGAUUUGCAAUUAUGUGAAUUGUAUGUGAAACUCUUUACUUGUAUGGUUAUUCUAAAGUUGUCCCUAGUCGGAGUUCAUGUGAGGACACACAUGAAUAUUAGACUAGCACAUGUAUUAGUUGAUGACUAUGUUUCACAAGUCAUGGACAUGGAGAUGUUGAACUAAUAAUGUGGACACAUGUGGAGACAUGUGCUAGGACUGACCUAACACGAGAAGUAGUUCUCUCUUUAAACAACAUAUACGCUUUGUCCUUAGACCUGAGAUUGUCGCAUGUAUUCUAGAUGUGGAUCGACCUACUUAGGGGCUAUCAAACGCUACGCCGUAACAGGGUAGUUAUAAAGGUAGCUUUCGGGUUUGUCAAGAAGCAUGCUAUGAGACAUGGUCAAUCAAGAUGGGAUUUGCCCCUCUCUGAUUGAGAGUGAUAUCUCUGGGCCCCUCGAGUGAUCGGAUCCGAAAAUGCAUGGCCAUGCUACGUACGGUUAAGAGUUAACCUACAAAGGGAUUCCGAAUCACAGGAUCGAGAAAGAGCGGUCGGCUUGAAGCUAGACCAAAUAUCGUGAGGCAAAGGGAAUAGUAUGUAUAUUAUGUUGUGAUGGUUCGUCUGAUAUGAUCUUCGUGUGCGUAUAGGAGUUGGCACGUCUUGCUAGAGGCCGCUACCGACUAUUGGGCCGAGUAGGAGUACUCGGGCCAUGUCCAUACGUAUCCGAACCCAUAGGGUCACACACUUAAGGGGCUGGAAGCCCAAUUCGGAUCAGAUCCGAGUUGGAUUAGGUUUAGAUGUACUAAUGGGCCUCGGAUCCAGAGGCCCGUCAGGAACCUCUAUAAAUAGAGGGGUGAGGGCGCCCUAGGGUUUACACCUUUUUGGCGAAACACACCUACCGCGCCUCCCACGCCCUCGCCUGUUGCAACUCGUGGAUCUAGCAGUCCGGCUUGCGACGCUUCCUCCCUGCACGUGUGGAUACCUUGGAGGUGUUGUGCCUGCAGCACUUGGACGAGCCGCCGACGAGCCGCCGACGAGCCACGACGAGCCAACGACGAGCCGCGGUACCGGAGGCGAUCUUGUUGCACGUGGACGAGCUGCUGAGGAGCUGCUGGACGUGAUCGACUACGUACAACUACGUUGAUCGACUACGUACGACUACGUGAUCGUCUUCACUGCAUCGACGCAUAUCUACAUCUUCCGCACCAGUAGUGCGUCGAGUGGUAAUCCCGUGAUCCUUAUACGGCAGUUCUUCCUGGUUAUACGCGGUAGAUUUUUUGAAUUGCGCUAGUGUAGCCUACCUCGUAUCCCAACAAUUUCUUGUGUGGAGUACCGAAAUGUUGAGCUCGUACCUCUAUGGUUGAGCAAGGUUGGGAGAUAUCCAUCUUGUCCCAGCUAAGGACCGAGUUGAUGUGCCAUAUUGCCUAACCCAACUAUCGUGCAACCCACUCGACCGUUGUAUGUGGCAACAGCUUAGCAUAAACCCUGCUAGCUAGUCUGAUAGCCGUCAGGAGAGCUGGUGAGCAACGGGAGACCAUGGAGCGGGACUAAACCCUGUAUGACCUUAGAUCCUGGCUAAGACCUCCCUAGGAUUGUUAGCCCCUUGGUUUGCUUCCGUGAUGGCUAGACAGUUUAGCUAAGUUGGGUAAUGGCUUUGAUAAGAUCUGCCCCGGCACUAAGGUGUUCGUGUUGCGGUACCCUACUUGUGGGAAAAGUGUACAACCUCUACAGAGUUAAAAUCUAUCCAGGUAGUCGUAUCCACGGUAUUGGAUGAGUUACGGCUUGGACACAUAACUAGUGCUUGGGAAAGGGAUAGUUUCAUGGUGUGAGUUUGGUUUUUGGGAAGUGUUCGGCUGUUGUGCCAUGAGCUACCUUGGACGGGGAGUCCAGUAGCACUAAAAUUUGGAUCCUUUGAGUAGGAUCAACCCUACUACUUAAUUUGGUUAUUAUGGAAUUGCUUGCAAAAACCAUUUGAAAAUAAACCCUUGCAUGUGUUAGAAAACUUGGCUUUAUUGCAAAUAAACCUAAACCUUAUCCUUGAUAUACAUCCUGUGCAUACUUUUGCUUGUAUCCCGCUCUGUGGAUGGGGUUGGACUUGUUGAGUACUUUCGUACUCACCCUUGCUUUGUUGCUCCAGAGGAAGACCUGGAGUAUGUCACCGAGGACUUUGAGUAGAAGGUCGCUUCAGCACCCAACACUGCCUGUGGUGUUGGCCUUUGCAGAUGGUUCCACUGUCGCCUAGUUCCAACUGCAGUUCAGACUUUGACUGGACUUUGGUUUGGAUUUGUAUCGUUAUCUGUUUGUUUCUCCUUUGGGGAUGGCUCGCCCUCCCGCUCCUUCGGGACUUAUACGGUUUCUGAACUAUCUGAUGAAAUAGAUGUGUUAUCAGCCUCCUGGGACUGAUAUUUCUAACACAUUUAGUCUCCGCCGAUGUGGGAACGCUUUAGGCCUGAGCAUCCUGUAGUGAAUGGGGGUAAAAACCGUGUUAAGCACAAUGUUAAAAAGCUGAAGCUCACAUUUAAUGAACUUCUGGCUAAAUAUCAAAGAGAUAACAAGGCCAAGCGUGCUAAUUGGUUAAAAGAUGUUAAGUUAUCAAGAUUGCCUCCUAAACGUAAUUCUAGGAAUGGGAAUUGGCAAGGAGAAAUGUUUUAUUCAGCGGCAUCCUGUCCUCCUUUUAGGCUAUCAAUGCUAGUUCCAUGUGCUCCACAUCCCACUAGUUUUUAUCCUUACUCAUUAUGGGGGUGGAAUGAUCCAUGGGUGCAUACUCCUUCACAUUUUAGACCAUAUCAUGUAGAGUAUGUAGCGCCUAGAGAACCAUCAUGUGCAAGGCAGCCAUAUGUGAAAAAUGACCAAUUUGAGGAAAAUGAUCGGUCUAGUGUUCAAAAUAAGAACAAGGUUGUCAAGCAAGUUUAUCGAGUGAAAAGAGAUGGUUGCAAAGGUAAAAGUUCAUAUCGGAAUUCAAUUAAUGAAAAGCUAAUUAACAUGUUAGGUACUUCGGCUAGUGAUGGCAAAGAUGAUAAAAAGAUCAGCCAUUGAUCCUCCAAGUGCCAAAUCUGACAAAAGAAGUUGAACAAGGCAGAAAACAAGAAAAGAGCAUUGCUGUCCAAAACUGAAGCAAAGUCAAACCAUCCACUUGGUUUAUCAAAUUGGCAGAAGAAGAAGCUGCAAAAGCUUAGUGCUCAAGAUUUGAGAAAGAAGAGCAUGGCAUGGGUUCCUAAAAGAAGCAUUCAAACUCAAAGCAAGGAUGAUGUUCAAGCAAAGGGUGUAACACAGUUGAAGGAGAAGAGGGAGUUUGAGAGACAAUCUCCAAAACUAAGGUUUACACCAAAUCAUCAAAAUUUUUGGUCAGUACCUCAUCCAUUUGCUUUACAAAUACCAUAUGUGCCUAUAUCUUGGAAUUCAUCCUUGGAUAUGUCUGGUUGUCCCUCACACUCUUAUUUUGAUCCUUGGUCAUAUGGGUCUUUAUAUCAUAGAGGGUUGUCACCAAAUUGCUAUGCACAUUAAUUAAAUUGCAAUAGGUGUAAUUUCAAAAGUCGAAAUAUUUAGUUCUUAGAGAUGGUUUUAAUUCCUGAAUUUAUAUAUCUCUAUAUACUUUUAUUUCUGGCUGUGCAUAUUCUUACGGAUGGAUUCAUUAUGAAUGAUAUUGAAUUAUCAUCCUUGGCAACGUAUAUGGUCGAUGAAGCUCUUUGAUCAUCGUCCUAAAGUAAUGGCUUCCCGAUGAGAGAUCAUUUUUACCUUACUAGUGCUUUAAGUGCUCGAGGGGCAAGAUAUUAGCAAAAUGAGUAAUUUGCCAUCAUGGAGUUUGUAUUUACUAAAUUGGCUUGCAAAGUGUUUUCAAAACAUUGGUGCUAUCUUUAUUUCACCAAAUGCUGUUGUUUUGAGAUCUUUAGCCGGUUGAAGUAUUUAACAUUAGUAAUUAAGCUGAAUAUGAAAUUUCUCUACUCAGGCUAAAAAUUUUGGAAUCCAUGGUUGGAAAGCAUGCUGAAAUAUUUAAUGGCUCAUUGUUGAACGUAUAGCAAAUAUUUAUGCUUAAAUGAGUCAUUGGAUGUUUUUGUUAAUAGAAGUCAAGAGGAUUCUCUCGAAUUCUAUUAUGUGUCAUGGCUCUAGACAUAAGAAGUCCAGGAUUGUCACUCUGGAAUAAUGAGCAUCAGGUCGCAGUGUCCAAAAGGACAUUCUCAUAAGAGAAGACCGAUGUUUAGAAAUGCAAGAGGGUACAUCCUGAGCACCGGUCUGACCGCCAUCUGGAACCGGUCUGACCGGUAUGGCUUAUUUAUCUCAUGGAAAUUAUGAUUGAUCGGUUUUCAAAAGGUUUCAUCACACGUUGAUGAUGUCUUUAUUUCAUCACAUGAUGUGGUUUUGAUCCUUAGCCGAUUGAAAGCUUCAACAUUAGGAAUUAAGUUGAAUCUUAGUUUUUCAGUUCGAGCUAGAAAGAUUGCAAUCUAUGAGCAUAAAUCAUACAGAGACAUUUGAUGGUUCAUUGCUAGUAGUGCAGAAGAUAUCCAUGCGUAAAUGGAUCAUUGAAUGUUUAUAAAUGCCUAGAGAUCGUAUUUGAUAAAUACAAUCCUAUACCUAGGCGUGAGAAUCAAAAGUUAACACUCUGGCAUAACAAACAUCAGGCUAUAACAUCCAUGGGGACGCUUUUAUAUUUAAAGGCUGAUGUUUGGCAAUGUCAGAGAGCGCAUCCUGGGCAGACCGGUCUAAUCGUUAUGUCUACCACUUUGGCCAAUAAAGUUUCGGAAUUUGCUGGAGCCAACGCUGGUAGUUGAGGAAAGUCAGUUGUCAUUUAUUUGCAUAAUACAAGAUGCAUUGAAAUAUAAAGCAAGAGUAAACAAGAAGGGUUCAAGAGUAAUCUGGCCAUCAUCAAUUCCAAGGAAAUUGUGUCAUAUUUGCCUUUUUAGGCUGACUACUCACCUUACUUUAUUUUAUUGUUGAAAUGACUUGUGGGUGUGAUAUUGAAUCAUUUUAUCUUUCUUCAUUCUCAAUUUGAAAAGAAUUGUAAAGACCAAUUGACAUUAUAGCAAUUCGAUCGCUUUAUGCAUCCACGAUAGUUUGCAGGUGUGAGAAUGACUUUGAAUUAGUAUUUGAAGAAUUCAUAGCUGAGGCAGUGAUACUCAGGCUUAUCUCACUCGCACAAGGUGUAUAAACAUCAACAACAAGAUGGUUCCUUCAUAUUAGGCAGAAUCAAGAAUAUGGCUGAUAGACACUAUCGUCCUUAAAAGUGAAACAUGGUUAAUGCACUUGUACUUUACAUUGUUUUUGUGCAAAUAUAAAUAUUUCUUGGUACGCAAGUUUUACUAAGAAACAGGGAGCAUGUGCUGACGACCAAAAGUGGCAUCAAGCCGAUCAGGCUGCUCUCAGCCGGGGUCUGACACGGCCAACCGGUCUGACCGGUGGUCUUGGCCGGUCAGACCGGUCUGAACAAAGUGCUCGAAAUGCAUAUUGUACUUCACCAUUGCGUAGAGCUCGUCGAGACAAUUAUGCAUAUGUGGAACGUCUAAUUUGGAGUCCGGGUGAGAGAGUUAUGGCUUCGACAAGAUUCAUCCCUGGGCUGACCGGUCAUACCGGUUUGGAUGGGCGGUCUGACCAGCCAAAUCCGAGUUAGGAAUUGUAUUUUGACAUGGGAUUUAUGUAAUCUUCAACUCCUACUGGGGCAAGACCUCCCCACGCUAUAAGUAUAAAGGGUCAUGGCCGAUUGAGGACAUCCCAAUCGAAUCAAUCUACAAUUUACUUUAUUUCCUCAACCCUAAUACUUUUCCGACCCCCUUGUUGUUCAUCUAUUGUUCUCCACGACUAUAGAUGGCGUUCUAGGCUUGUUGGUCGACCUAGGGCACGCCGGCGACGUCCACGCCCUGACGGGGUCCCUCCCGGGCGAGAGCUUCGACGGCCUUUGCUAGUUUGCUCGUAAACUAGUCGUUCUUCACCACGUAAGUGCGUCGGUUAUCUCUUUGCUAGUUUGCUCGUAAACCUAGCCGUCCUCCACCACGUAAGUGUGGUUGUUAUCCCCUCGAACGAUCGAUCCCGGCCAAACCCUAGCAAACCGGUCUAACCGGAUUGCUGAACCGGUCUGACCGACCUGCGCAGCCUCUGUGCUACUCGGUCCGCUCGCGACCCGCACGAUCUAGCGCACUCGUGUAUUAGCCGAAAAAGACGUCAAAACUUACCAUGAGUUUUUGGUGCAUGGCUAUGCUCCGUGAGCCUGCAGUGUGCUGGGCAGAACCUCCAGUGUAUCGGUUUUGUCUCUUCUGGCCUGAGACUUGCAGGGCUUCGUCUGAAGCCCAGUGCUCAUCUUCGUCAUCCAAAUUUGUCUGUCUGGACCUGGCAGCAUCAAACGCUUCCUUAGCUUUCCUUGAUGAAGCCAAUUCCACCCUAGCCCUUGGCUUCUCAUCACACAGGAGCGAAGUGAAUGUUCUGACUAUUUUGCGCUCAAAUAGCUUCAGGCACUCUGCUUCGUGCUCAGGGGCUCUGCCAAUUCCACUUGUAGCGUCGCUGCAGGAGAAUAGAAAUAGAUUGGUAUUCAUUAUUCACACCUGAUGAAUUUAGAAAUAUGUUAUUGACUUAUGAAUCUUACAAGAAAUUCAUCCAUAAUGAUAGCCUUUGUAUCUGAAUGAUACUGGUGCCAAUGGAGAAUCAAUUUUUCCUGGUACAAUUCAUUUGUGCGGCGAUUGGCUGGUACAUAGGUUGAUCCUGGGUGCCACUGCUUGAGAAGUGCAGAAAUGGUGGACGCCACCUUGGGACAAGGAGGAUCUACAUCCCAGGUGCUGCUAAGAAGACAAGUCAAUAUAUCAUGUUCAUGAAAAUUAUGAAAUACAAGUCACCCUCAGCAUUGUAAAUUACUAGGCAUGUGUUUGGUUUUGAGACGAUAUGGGUUGGGUUGUAGCUGACCUCCUUUUCGGGUUGGGGUCGACCCAUCUCGUGUUUGGAUGAGAGGGAUGGGAUCGUUCCAGUUUUUUAUUUGAUUAGAGGGGUUGAGAGGGAUGGGAUGGAUGCAAACAAUUACAUGAGGCUGUUUUUUUAGCAAACCGAUCUUUUAACUAAACAGAAUCGCUGUAUUUUUUAGCAAACCGAUCUUUUAACUAAACAGAAUCAGCAGUUGAUUGGUUUAGGGUUUUUUUUAUCAAAUUUUUUUGUUUUAUGCUUCUAUCACUGGCUGCGACUCCAGCUCUAUUUCUCUGUGGGGUUGUGCAUUGCCCACAGCUUUCCCUCUAGUCGCCGCUAUCGAGGCACCCUCUCCCACUUUUAAUUUCAUCUUCAUCUACGAGAGGUAGUGACGGUGUGAGAGGGUGGCGGACUUGGCGGACCCAGCAUACAGUGAGUGAGAACGGGCCACCCCUCAAAUUCAAGAACUGCUAAGUACCCAACACUUUAGGCCGCAGCUCAAUUUUGUGCUAAGUACGCCAGAGGGGAGCACCAUCCAUUAGGUGUUGCACCAAUAAAAUUUUACCAAAAAUUUCUGUAGCCGGUACACCCUAUUUGUAACAUUUUUCAAAUACGGUAGUACAUUUACAUUUUCUAAAAGCAGGUUAAUAGAUACACAAUUUACUAUAUCACGAGGACACAACAAUUUAUGAAGAUGCAUGCUAGGAUUGCGCUAACACAACAAUGUAUACAGGUAGCUUGUAACAUGAAUGACGGGGCGUCCUGGAUGAUGCUCGUCGAAGAAGGUCCUUAUUGCAGCCUCUAUCAUUGGUACAUCUGACUCUUCACUUCUAUUCCAAGAGUAGCCCAAACCGAUGGCUACACUUUUCAGAUUCGUCAGAUGCUCGACGCCGGCAAGCCUGAUGCCACACGUCUUCACUUCACGCACACCCAAUACAAACCUGAGGGUCUCAACCUUGGGCACUGCUCCAGCUUGGAAGUGGAAGGAGUGGCCUGGUCGACGAGAUUCGAAGUAAUCAAGAGAUCUGAACACCGCACUGCUGCUGAAGACAAUCCCUUCACCAGGGACAUAACACGCCCCUAGCACAAGAUGGGCAAGGGCAGGUAACCCUGCAAGAACAGAAAUAUCAUCCUUGCAUAGCUCGUCAACAUGGAUUUCCAGGCUGCUGAGCGUGCUAAGCUGACCGACCCACAUAGGUAACCUUGGAAACGAGAAUUGCAGGUGGAGUUGCUCGAGACGACAGUCUGACAAGCACAAUGAGUUCCACCCAUCAUAAGAGCCUGUAUGCCUUUGGUUGAAUUCUGAAACAGUGAAAUGCCUCAGAUUGCCAUUGAGUAACUUCUGGAUGGAAUAAAACAGAGCAUCCUUAUGUGUUUCCAUAGUGGCGAAGUGGUGAUCAGUGAAACGCAUGUACAGCUCCCUUAGAUUCAGCAAUUCCCCGAGAGCCCUUAAAUUAUCGACCGACUGCUUGCUUGGAUCGAACCACUUCAGAGUAUGAAGAGAUUUCAUCUUGCUAAUCCCAUCAGGAUAAGCUAUGCACGCAGAAACCUUCAAAUAUGACAAAGCAGGCAAAUGGACAAUAUCAUGAGAAAGUUGGUACAACGGCCCAUGUAUAACCAAUGUCUCCAGAUGAUGUAGCCCACAAAUUUGUUUAGGCAGUUGCAUGCUCGAUCCAUGGUAGGAGCUUUGAACAUUUAAGUACCUCAGUUGAGACAGUUUUCCAAUUGGAGUAAGGUCCAAACCAUCAACCUUACAAAUAAACAGAGCUCGGAUAAACUUCAGCUCCAACAGUUCAAUGCUACGAUGAUGCAACCCAAAAAUACACAGUGAUCGAACAUGUGUCAGACUCAUGCGAGGUGCAAUUUUAUCAAGUCCUGCCUCACCAAGCUGCAGAGAGAGCCGGCGAGUCUUGCGAUGCUGUCUUCUGGUGAUUGUCUCUAUGUUUUCUACCACGCACAGAAAAUUCUCUUCUGCAGACUUGGACAGAAUUAGAUCCAGAACCAUAUCAUGAACUUUAUGAUAGAUACGCUCUGUGCGCCAAGAAAGAUGUUCCACAAGCUUGAUGAUCAUACUCCUGUUCACCAAUUCAUUAAAAUAGCUCCCUGCAAUUUUCAAUGCAUCUCUUCCAUCUAUUCCACAGACAAAUCCUUCAGCUACCCAUUGCAUAACUAACUCAUCCUUUUCAAUAUCAUGAUCCUCCGCAUACAUACCAAUAUAUAAUAAGCAUGUCUUGAGAUGAUGAGGAAGAUGAGUGUAACUAAGGUUUAGUAUCUGUCUCAUCCCUUCGGGCCAUCAAUACCAACAAGUCUUGACGAUUCCACAUAAAGAGCAGAUAUCCGAGGGUCGACAGCAACACCACCGGAUCUAGUCUUGCAGUCAUCUAGCUUGUACCUCAUGUGCCGCGCACUAGCCUCUUGCACACGGAUCUUGAGCUCUUGAAUUUGGUUGGCGAGCUGAUGCCGCGCCCUUAGCGUCUUAAGACGGCGCAACAAUCCUUUACCGUCGCAGGAACCUCCAACACGGUGCAUGAACUCAUCGAUGCAGUCCUCGAUGUCGUAGGACAUUUCCCUCACUUUGUUCCUCCACUGCUUGGUUUGGUUGUCCAGGUGCUCCAUGUCAGCGAGAUCUUCCAGGAGAGCGGCCAUGCUGCUGAGCUCCUCAUGGAGGAACGCCACCUGCAGGAUUGGGUUCAAGAAUUAAGAUAAAAGAAGGGGGCAAACUCCAUGAGACCAUGAACAAAAAAUUUGGAUCAAAAGGCACCUGUUUCCGCACAUCCUUGAGCUUGGCAUACUUUUCCCCCAUAAGAGUGGCUAGCUUUCCUAGGAGCGAGUUCAUCACUCCCACUGAGGCACUCACCAGUAUCUUCUCUGCCAUUCUGACAACCCUUCUCGGAUGCCGCCGCCGUGGAGGAUGAGGAUGGUGACCACGGGCGAGCGAAAAACCAGCGGUGGAACCUGGCGGGCUUGAUCGUUCCGAUCCGCCCGGAUUUACACGGGGGAGACGCCGGCCGCGUUGUUUCCGGGGGAGCGGGAGGAGCGAGCGGCCGGCGGCGCUAUGCCAUGGAGCGAUGGAGCAGUGAAGGU